Molecule: transfer RNA, 83 nt
Filed under: Echinostoma caproni
Lineage: Eukaryota; Metazoa; Platyhelminthes; Trematoda; Plagiorchiida; Echinostomatidae
Rfam family: tRNA
About the family: Transfer RNA (tRNA) molecules are approximately 80 nucleotides in length. Their secondary structure includes four short double-helical elements and three loops (D, anti-codon, and T loops).
Source: Rfam by way of RNAcentral
GGCCUCGUAGUUCAGCUGGUAGACGUGCGCUGUACAAAAGCGUAGGUGGCCUCUGUGCAUGGGUUCGAAUCCCACCGAGGCUA